CCCGACACCGACGACGAGGAGACAUUGGUUAAUGAAGAAGUCUACAAAAAUGGGAAGGGGAGGGGGAAAUGAUGUAUAUUUAAAUAUUACUGACCAAGUCAAUUCAUCAGGAUGUAAUUGGAAAUCGAGGAUAUCCGAAUAUAUGCGAGAGUCUGAGUCAGCGCACCUACGUGCGCCACUUCCGAAUUUGAACUCAAAGGAAUCGUAAUACACAGGAUACGUAGCAAACAUAUGCCAUGCACGUACUAAGAGCGCAUAUAAAACAACGAGGUCAUAUCUUUCCCCAUGAAAAUCUCGAUCUUAGACACGUACGAUACCUCGGCGAAAAGAAGAUUACGAAUUGUUUUUUCAAUUCUUGUUAAUUGUUCCGAUCAAAUUAAAAUGAAUGGCUCAAGAUGUUUUCAUAUGUCUACGCAUAUUUUGAUGUUUAAUUAUACCUGUAAUUCAAAAAAGGGGAAGAAAAAAAAUAGCAGUAGAGAAUCAUAGUGAUCAAGUAUGACGUUGACAUCGAGCUGAUCAGUUGUGACACAUAUUGUUAUACAUAAUUGUAGCACAAUUAUGUAUAACAAUAUGUCAUGGCUUAUUUCGAGCUAUAAUUAAAUUAACUUUAAAUUAAUAUAAUCAACAAACGUUUCGACUUACAAAGCCUUCCUCAGUGUUAAAACGCAGAAAUACAAUCUUAAA
Long non-coding RNA from Acromyrmex echinatior (Panamanian leafcutter ant), 684 nucleotides. The record is from RefSeq and is a predicted model, not a curated record. Lineage: Eukaryota; Metazoa; Arthropoda; Insecta; Hymenoptera; Formicidae.